This 29-nucleotide non-coding RNA is filed under the name Homo sapiens (human). The record is from RNAcentral. Lineage: Eukaryota; Metazoa; Chordata; Mammalia; Primates; Hominidae.
UGUUAUGCAUCUACCGGCGCCCACCCUCA